GGGAAAGGUCAACUGAUAUCCAAUACUGAUAAAAAGAGGAAAACACUAUGUCUACAGAAAACAUUCUCAGAAUAAUAUUUUCACCACUAGUUUGUUAUAAACUAUUUAUGAUAAAUUUUCAUCACCAUACUGGUUCGUAAUAUGGAUCCAUCAAUGAAAAUGGUUCAAGACGAUAAAAGCAACAACAUCAAUAACACUAACGACUCUAGCCAACACAUCCAGACUUCCACACUCCCUAUCUCUCCUCCACAUGCCACUUCUCCGUCUCUCUUUUCCUCCAAGCCUGCUCACCUCCCCUAUCGCCGAGCCCUUCGCCCCAUGCAUGCAUGGCUCCUCCCCCUUCCGGCCUUCCCUACGGUGUUGGUGCCUAGUUGUUUUUUUUCCUUUUAUUUGUUUGGGCCAUAAGUUAAGUUAAGGCUACGGUUGUAAAAUAUGGCAUAUGCACUUGAUUUUCUUGUGGUCAAUAACUCGAGCCCUGUGUCGACCCGCUCUUGCAAGGUUGGAUCACAUUUUCUGACGGGUGAGUCGGCAAGAUCAUUAAUAGGUCUAGUACGUGUCAAGUUAUUAUAUACUACUAGUAUAAAUAGAGGAGAAAAAACACCAUGGCCUUGUUUAGUUCUAAAAUAUUUUGCAAAAUCAACACUGUAGCUCUUUCGUUUGUAUUUGACAAAUAUUGUCCAAUCAUGGACUAACUAGACUCAAAAGAUUCGUCUCGUCAAUUUCGACCAAACUGUGCAAUUAGUUUUUAUUUUUGUCUAUAUUUAAUACUUCAUGCAUAUGUCUAAAGAUUCGAUGUGACGGGGAAUCUGAAAAAUUUUGCAAUUUUUUUUGGAUUACAGAUCAUCUGGAUUAUUCUGGAUACAUAAAACCGGAAAUAGUAAUACAAAACCAUGCAUUGAGAUACUAUGAGAACACAGCAUAAAACCGUUAGAAUAUAUCUUUUAUAUAUUACAAAUAAGACGGAACAAUGAGGAGAAAAAAUGCAGCUAGUAUAUAUGCAUAUGCAUCAUGUUCAAAUUAAUGAUCGGAAUAGUAACCAAUGCAGCACCUGCAUGCGCAGGAGGAGGUCCUGGGACUCUUUCUUCUGGAAGCGGUGGCGGGUGAAGUCCUGACGCAGCCUCUCGACCUCGGCGCGCUCCUCCGGCGUGCCAGCGUCGGCGUCGAACUCCCACACCUGCCUGCCGAGGAAGCCGUUCUCCGAUCACAGCCACGGCC
This 1215-nucleotide long non-coding RNA is filed under the name Sorghum bicolor (sorghum). Its description in RNAcentral is "long non-coding RNA (SBIC_LNC018394)". The record is from RNAcentral. Lineage: Eukaryota; Viridiplantae; Streptophyta; Magnoliopsida; Poales; Poaceae.